RNAcentral lists this transfer RNA (74 nucleotides) under Candidatus Heimdallarchaeota archaeon. RNAcentral's name for it is "tRNA-Met". It matches the Rfam family "tRNA". Rfam says of the family: Transfer RNA (tRNA) molecules are approximately 80 nucleotides in length. Lineage: Archaea; Promethearchaeati; Candidatus Heimdallarchaeota. The record is from RNAcentral.
GUCGAGGUAGCUCAGACGGUUAGAGCGCUAGACUCAUAAUCUAGAGGUCGGGGGUUCGAUUCCCCCCCUCGACA